UACGAAGGGUGCAAACGUUGCUCGGAAUUAUUGGGCGUAAAGCGCACGUAGGCGGCUUAGCAAGUCGGAUGUGAAAUCCCUCGGCUCAACCAAGGAAGUGCAUCCGAAACGCUGAGCUUGAGUACUUAAGAGGAUCGCGGAAUUCCAGGUGUAGCGGUGAAAUGCGUAGAUAUCUGGAGGAACACCGGUGGCGAAGGCGGCAUUCUGGACCGACAUUGACGCUGAGGAGCGAAAGCGUGGGGAGCAAACAGG
This 252-nucleotide ribosomal RNA is filed under the name uncultured bacterium. RNAcentral's name for it is "partial 16S ribosomal RNA". It matches the Rfam family "Bacterial small subunit ribosomal RNA", at positions 524 to 776 of the family's 1533-position model. The record is from RNAcentral.